CUAAAAUCUGCAUGGCUGAAGCCAGGAGUCUGGCUGGGCUAGCUUUUAUCUUGUGCUCCCUGGAACCCUGACUGGAUGAUUUCUGAAGUCGAGCUGGAGCCCAUCUAGAGGGAAGGUGAAACUUCUCCUCAGCAUGCAGGGCCUCCUGCACCCACACUGCCACAGCCACCGCAUUACCAGCUCCUGCCAGUCUGAGGAGCAAGAGGCUGGCAUGAAGAAUCAGUUCC
RNAcentral lists this long non-coding RNA (227 nucleotides) under Homo sapiens (human). RNAcentral's name for it is "HSALNT0307378". The record is from RNAcentral. Lineage: Eukaryota; Metazoa; Chordata; Mammalia; Primates; Hominidae.